Long non-coding RNA from Xenia sp. Carnegie-2017, 932 nucleotides. RefSeq lists it as uncharacterized. The transcript is spliced from 2 exons. Lineage: Eukaryota; Metazoa; Cnidaria; Anthozoa; Malacalcyonacea; Xeniidae. The record is from RefSeq and is a predicted model, not a curated record.
UUCCACUUUUAUGAAACGCAAUCACACACGAUCACACACCGUAGAAAUAAAUCAUUACUUCUGGAGACAUUUCCAUGUUCUAGACAUACCAAUAUCGUAGGAAACUAAGGAAAGCGACAACUGUUUUUUACAUCGUCAUUGUCAUCUACUAAACCUAUUGUUAUCCACUGUCAUCCACGAUAAUCCAUCGUUCUUUUUUCACUCCUGAAUCCAAAUAACUGCGUAUAUUCAAUGGAAGAAAUAUUUUUUCUUAAGAAAAGAAUAGUUUUGACUUUUACCGACAAAAAUUGGCAUCGUAGUAGCUGGUUGCACAGAGGGACCUAUAGAAAUUGAGGCGCCCACGGAGGAUAUUCAAGGAUAUGCUUUAUGUUAUGCACAUGAUGGUGCAGUCGCUGACUAUGUAAAAGCUAUGAAAUAAACAUAUUUUGUGAGUCUAUUUUGAUCACUGAUCAGUCGUUACGAUAUAUAGAAACGAGCGUAAUGGACAUUGAUGGCAUUUCGUUUUCUUAUUUUUCUUGUAAUGGAUGUAUGGAUUAAACACAUCAAGUCGACGUAAUUGACUGUCUCACUCAAGUUCGAAAUCACAGCAAUAAACGAAAAACAUUUUUCCUGAUUAUUUUUCUCGAAAUUUUAUUCGUUCAUCUUAACUAAACUCUCUAUUUUGGAUACCCCCGGAGGUGCAUGUUCUUGUUGACAAGAGAAAAGGGGUCUUAGGGGUGUAUGGCCUAUUGCAGUUUGUCAGUUUCGGAAGUUCACAAUAUCAACCCGUGACCCUCAUAGACAGACAACAUCCACAAUUAUUUCGACCAGAGUUUAUGAGCACUGUACGCAUUAACCAGUUCUUUUACCAAUUUGGGGCAAUGAUGGGGUUCGCCGCGCUUUCGUAAUUCUAUGGUUGCCACAAGCCACCCGAAAAAAAGCCACUCGUGCCU